Molecule: ribosomal RNA, 3642 nt
Filed under: Triticum aestivum (bread wheat)
Lineage: Eukaryota; Viridiplantae; Streptophyta; Magnoliopsida; Poales; Poaceae
Description: partial small subunit ribosomal RNA
Source: RNAcentral
AUGUACCACAUCAAGCGCCGCGUCCACGACACCGGCAAGUCAACCCCAUCGUCCUCGUCCGCGCUGCAUCAGGAGACCGCUCCGCCACCUGCCGACAAGGGCCAUGGAGUGCCGCUGCUCGUCAAUAAUCAUCCGCCGCUGCUUGAAACUCCUCAACAGCAGCCGUCCGGAUUUCACACCGCGCUGUCAUCACCACAUGAGCAGGAUGUGCGGCCCACCCUCCACGCCCAACCAGAUCAGGAGGAGUACCGGCCGCGUCAACCACGCCAUGAUUUUCCACGUUUCCAUGGUGAGAUGCCCCUGCUUUGGAUAGACCAGUGCUUGACUUAUUUCGAGAUGUACCGAGUGCCUGUUCAUCACUGGGUCAGUACUGCUACUCUGUACUUGGAUGGAUUGGCUGCGAUGUGGUUUCAGGCAUAUAAGUGUUUGCAUAGACGUCUCACUUGGGAUGAAUUCACGGGUGCUGUGGUGACUGAAUUUGGGCAUGACGAGUAUGAUGUUCAGAUGACUAAGUUGCAGCAGUUACGGCAAACCAUGAGCACUCGCUGGUUUGUCUCUCAGUUUGUCUUUGGAUUACGAGAUGAGCUUCGUGGACCUGUGAGAUUGCAGGCUCCUACUAGUGUUACUCGCGCUGCAGCUUUGGCAAAAAUUCAGGAAGAAGAAGUGGAACACAUACGACCCAGAAAUCGUCCCGCAGCUCCAACAAAACAUCCACCACAACCUGUAGCAGGUGUGGUGCAUACACCAGCUCUGGGACGAACAGAAUUGCCUCGCCGUCAGGGCAAUGAUGACUUUAACAGGGAACGACAGAUCCAUGAUUUUAGGCGCGCCAAUGGUCUUUGUUUUAAAUGUGGGGAUAAGUAUUCCAAAGAGCAUCAGUGUAAAAGAUCAGGUCAGCUACUCACUAUUGAAGUUGGAGAAUUUGGUGAAGUAUUAUCAGAUGAUGCAGUGAUUGCCCUGGAUCUCUUGGAAGAAACAACAAUACCCGCUACUUGCUAUCAUCUUUCUGUGCAUGCUCUCGCGGGAACAGAAGCUUUGGAAACAGUUCGCAUUCGUGCUUUGGUGGGAAAUCAGGUGAUGCUCUUGCUUAUUGAGUCUGGCAGCACACACACGUUUGUAAAUAAGAGCUUUGCAGAGCGUGCUGGUUGCACUAUUCAGUCAGUCCCAACAGUUUCAGUUAAGGUAGCAAAUGGACAAAUUUUGUCAUCUGAUGCUCAAGUACAAGGGUUACAGUGGUGGACACAAGGAUCUACAUUUGUAACUGAUAUGAGGGUCCUGGAGCUUGGGGCCUAUGAUGCCAUAUUAGGCAUGGACUGGCUAGAGCAGUUCAGUCCUAUGAUCUGCCAUUGGCGUCAGAAAACAUUAACAUUCGAUUAUUUGGGAAAAUCUAUUACACUGCAGGGUGUCCUUUCUAAACCACAAGAGUCACUCCGGGAAAUGUCUGUGGAACAGUUAAAUAAGUGGAUUUCGGGGAAUGAGGUCUGGGCCAUGGCUAUGAUUGAUCCUAUACAUCAAACAACAGAAUCUGUACCCAACAUAGUGCAAUCAGAUAUGCAGUCUUUACUCGAGGAAUACCAUGAUGUUUUUGAUCAGCCCACUACUUUGCCACCACAUCGUGCCUUGGAUCAUUCGAUCUCGUUAGAACCAGGAGCUCAUCCAACAAACAGUCGCCCCUACCAGUACUCUCCAUUGCAAAAGGACGAGAUCGAACGUCAGGUCUCGGAAAUGCUUGACAGAGGGGUGAUUCAGACAAGCAUGAGUCCAUUCGCGUCUCCGGUGCUGUUAGUUAAAAAGAAGGACGACACUUGGCGAUUUUGUGUUGAUUAUCGUCACUUGAAUUCCAUAACUUUGAAGAACAAGUUUCCCCUACCGGUCGUUGAUGAGUUGCUGGACGAAUUGGCUGGCACUAAAUUUUUCUCCAAGUUAGAUUUACGCGCAGGAUACCAUCAAAUUCGCAUGAGGCCAGAGGAUGAAGAAAAGACAGCCUUUAAAACACAUCACGACCACUUUCAAUUCCGAGUGAUGCCAUUUGGAUUAACGAAUGCGCCAGCCACAUUUCAGUGCAUUAUGAAUCUCAUUUUUGCUAAAUACCUCCGCAAGUUUGUGAUAGUCUUCCUAGACGAUAUCUUGGUCUACAGUUCAUCUUGGGCAGAGCAUUUAGAGCAUCUGCGUCUGGUGUUCGAAACACUUCGCCAGGCUCAAUUCUUUGCUAAGUUAUCCAAGUGUUCUUUUGGGCAGAACAGUAUUCAGUAUCUUGGCCAUAUUAUCUCUGAUUCCGGUGUUGCAACCGAUCCCGAGAAAACAGUGGUGAUGGAACAGUGGCCAAUUCCUAAGACAGCAACUGAACUACGAGGAUUCCUUGGCCUAACAGGUUAUUACCAUAAAUUUGUUAAACAUUAUAGUCUGAUUGCUAAACCACUGUCUCAACUUCUGACCAAAAAGGGUUUCUACUGGAAUGAACAAGCAACACAAGCAUUUCUUGCUCUGAAACAAGCUAUGGCACAGGCACCUGUCCUGGCAUUGCCCAACUUUUCCGAGCCCUUCACCGUGGAAACUGACGCUUGUGACACUGGAGUGGGGGCAGUGUUAAUGCAGAAAGGGCAUCCAAUUGCAUACAUGAGCAAGGCUCUUGGGAUACUUAACUGUAAAAUGUCCAUCUAUGAAAAAGAAUUCCUUGCUGUGAUUAUGGCUGUGGAUAAGUGGCGUCCUUAUUUACAGCGCGGCCCAUUUCAGAUAGUCAUCGAUCAUAAGAGCCUCUGCAACCUAGAGGAUCAAAUUUUGACUACUGAUUUGCAACGCAAGGCAAUGGCCAAGCUCGUGGGUUUACAGUUUCAGAUUAAGUACAGAAAGGGCAGUUAUAACGGUGCUGCCGAUUCCUUGUCUCGAGCGGGCCAUUUAUUGGAAGCACAUGCCAUUUCCACCUUGCAACCUGAUUGGGUCCAGGAGGUUUCCAAUUCCUAUGUCACUGACACAGUGGCCACUCAGUUAUUACAAGAAUUGGCAAUUCAAUCUCCUAAUGCAAAAGGUUAUGCAUUGAAGAAAGGCCUAAUUACUUACAAAGGCAGAAUGUAUAUUGGUGCAAAUCUUGCCCUACAAACUAAGCUGAUAGCAGCUCACCAUGAUACUGCAGUGGGAGGCCAUUCAGGUAUUCAAGCCACAUACCACAGAUUGAAGCAGCUGUAUUAUUGGCCAGGUCUUAAGGUUGCCAUGGAAAAUUAUAUCCAUCAAUGUAUAGUGUGUCAACAAGCAAAACACACUAAUACAAAACCAGCUGGCCUUCUGCAACCCUUGCCACCCCCCGACAGUCCUUGGACUGAAUUGACAAUGGAUUUCAUCGAGGGUCUUCCCAAUUCAGAGGGUGCAAAUUCAAUAUUGGUGGUCGUUGACCGCUUAACAAAGUAUGCUCACUUUCUGCCCUUGCAUCAUCCUUUCACAGCAACUUCAGUGGCCAAAGUUUUCCUGGAUAAUGUGGUGAAACUACAUGGUAUUCCCAAAACCAUUAUCUCUUUUUCGAGAAAACACAAAAGAGUUGCGUUUCAUUGCAUUGAACAGGAAGACAUCGGGGGUACAACCUCCAGAAAGGAGGGACACACACACACACACACACACGACCGUCCUCACCAAGUGACUACAGCUAGGUGA